GGGCUAGUACUGGUUUCGACGGGGACCAUGAAGGUGGAGAAGCGAGCCGGAGUGAAUACGUUACAUUCUAAAACUUAAAUAUAAACGCUAACGAAAAUUUAGCUUACGCUGCUUAAUUAACGCAGCAGUCUUACCCUUUGCACCUACACUUAGGGAUUAAGGCUUCAUCUAUGUAGGAAACGACUGUAUCAAAGCUUUGAGAUGCAGGGCGUAUUAUGAAGCUACUGAAACUAAUUGGUUGUUUGUUCCUUGUUAGUGGAGGGAAUGUUAAAGAAUAAACUACGCUCGUAGAAGUACAGUGAAUUGAUUUUCGGACAUGGGUUCAACUCCCAUCUAGUCCAUUU
This is a non-coding RNA of Eubacterium uniforme, 344 nucleotides long. The record is from Rfam. Lineage: Bacteria; Bacillati; Bacillota; Clostridia; Eubacteriales; Eubacteriaceae.